AUGUCCCUGCCAAAUACUUCUAUCUUUGCUAUUGUUAUACCGAUGGAACAUAGGAGUGUGUGCUCUGUCUUGUUGGUCUGCAGGAGUACCAGGUAUGCUAGCUUGCUCGAAUCUAUGUAUACCAGGAAAACCAGGAGGUCUGUUGGUUCUAAUAGGAGGUGGUUUUGGCACCAAGGACUGAAGGAAUGUGCUCAUAGCAUUCAUCUGUUUGCCCAGCUCAAGGAUUUGCUCUCUCUGCAAGGAAGGCUUAGAACCGACGGACUGAACCUCAUCCUGCAGUUUGGACACCAAUGUUUGCAGAGCAGCGCUGUCCUUGUGGAAUUCGCCAAAAUCCUCUCACAUGGCCAAAAGAUUGCUGCAAGUCUGCUUCAUCGAUGGUCUUGGUCGAUCGUCCCAUCUCCUUGA
This 405-nucleotide ribosomal RNA is filed under the name Triticum aestivum (bread wheat). Its description in RNAcentral is "partial small subunit ribosomal RNA". The record is from RNAcentral. Lineage: Eukaryota; Viridiplantae; Streptophyta; Magnoliopsida; Poales; Poaceae.